This 1401-nucleotide ribosomal RNA is filed under the name Triticum aestivum (bread wheat). Its description in RNAcentral is "partial small subunit ribosomal RNA". Lineage: Eukaryota; Viridiplantae; Streptophyta; Magnoliopsida; Poales; Poaceae. The record is from RNAcentral.
AUGGCUUCUCCCGUGUUCUUGUGCAUCCUCCUGAUCAUAUUUGGCAGCUACCUUUGUAUUUCUGCUGCAGGCGACGAUAAGCAAAACUUCGUUGUGGUGUCAACCAGGUCAUUUCAGACAGAAGAUGUCUGCUCCACAUCGACAGUGACGCCUCGGCCAAACCGCGCCGCUGCGCCCCUGGUGCACAGGCACGGACCCUGUGCGAAGUCGCAGUCCACCAACAGGCCUUCUUUCCCGGAGGCGCUUCACAGAAGCCGCGUCCGCGCAGACUACAUCAUGAGCAAAGCGCUGAGGGGCACCACGAUGCAGGAGCAGGACGAGGGCAAGGUGAGCAUCCCGGCGUACCUGGGCACCUCCGUCGACUCGCAGGAGUACGUGGUCACGUUGGGCCUGGGCACGCCGGCCGUGGAGCAGGUCGUCCUCCUCGACACUGGCAGCGACCUGUCGUGGGUGCAGUGCGCGCCAUGCAACUCCAGCGACUGCUACCCUCAGAAGGAUCCCUUGUUCGACCCGCGCAAGUCCUCCACCUACGCUCCCAUCGCCUGCGGCUCUGACGUCUGCAAGAUCCUCCAGUCCGACCACCACUUGAACAAUGGCUGCACCAUGAACGGCAAUGGCACCCAGUCCCACUGUGGGUAUCGAGUCGAGUAUGGAGGAGGGUCAAAGACCAGUGGCGUGUACAGCAACGAGGCGCUCACGCUAGCGCCCGGCGUCGUCAUCAAGGACUUCCAUUUCGGCUGCGGAUACAAGCAGGGCGGCCCCAACGACAAGUUCGACGGCCUGCUCGGACUCGGCGGCGCGCCCGAGUCACUCCCGGUUCAGACCUCCGGAGUCUACGGCGGCUCUUUCUCCUACUGCCUCCCGCCGGUGAGCAGCGGCACCGGGUUCCUCGCCCUUGGUGCGCCCAGCAACACCUCGGCCUUCUCAUUCACGCCCAUGACCCCUUUCAUGGAUUACGCCACGUUCUACGUGGUGCAGCUCACCAGUAUCAGUGUCGGCGGGAAGCAGCUCCACAUCCCACGGAAGGCAUUGGAGGGGGGCAUGAUCGUAGAUUGCGGCAAUAUCAUCACACAGCUACCAACGACGGCCCACGCGAAACUGCAGUCCGCGCUCCGGGCGGCCAUGGCAGCUUACCCACUCGUCCCAAGCGACCCGGGCGAGACAUGCUACAACUUCACCGGAUACAGCAAUGUCACCGUGCCCAAGGUCGCUCUCACGUUCAGCGGCGGCGUCACGGUCGACCUCGAUGUGCCCAACGGGGUUCUGUUGGACGGCUGUCUGGCCUUCGCCGAGUCCGGGCCAGAUGGUUACGGCGGGAACAUCGGCAAUGUCCAAAUGAGAACGUUGGAGAUGUUGUACGACGUUAGGGGUGGUAGACUCGGAUUUCGGGCAGGUGCCUGC